UAUCUACUUCUAUUUAAUUAUAUUAGUAAAUAUUAAAGUAAAUAUGUAUGUUUGUGAUAUUAUGUCUUCUUUUUAGUAAUAAGUUCUACAAAGAGUGGUCAUUAUCUUUCAUGGAUCUUAUAAUUAUUUAUCUUAGUUUUGACGGAUAUUAUUGAUAAAAGCAUCAAUUUUUUUUGCUAUAUUUAUAAGAUUCCUUACUAGCUCCCAUGUGUAUUUAUUAAUAUGUUAUUUGUACCAAUGAAUAAGAUAUUUUAACCUAUUUGGCAUCACUUUUAAUCCAAGACUUCUUCUACCUCAAAUCUUGAUAAUUAUUCACUUCUAUAGAAGGAGGUGGCAUUUAUCUUCUUGUGAUUGCUUGUUUUACUUAUUUCAAAUUAAUCUAAUGGAAAUAAAUCCGUAUAGGGCGAUUCAAAUACGGGGAAUAACUAGUUGCUUAAGCAUUCAUGUUAGGAUCACACAAUCAAUUACCUCCUGAAUGUAUCGUCUCUAUUCCUAAUAUUUGAACACACAAGGAAAUUAUAAUCUCCUCCUUCACCUUAUCGGUCUCUUCCUUACAACAAUUCAAUCAUACCAAUAACUGCUAUUUCCACCAAUAUAUUCACCCUCAUAAUCUCCAACUGUAAUACUGUGCCCUCUCAGCUUUCAGCACACAAUUACCUUCAUUCCAAUCACUGGAAUUCUUCACACAGAACUGCCAUUCACAUUACGGUGUUUCAUACAAAUACAAACUCAUUCUCUCUGCUGAACUACAAUCAAAUUUCAGCAUUCAAUCUUUCUUCUUCUCAAAUAAUACCAAUCACAUUUCCAUUCCAUAAUUUACUUCACAAUAUUCAGAAACUCUCAAUCCUCUUAUUCAAAGAAAAUAACAAAUAAAAGAAAAGAAGUAGCACCAAGCUUAUCCCGGCUCACACUAUCACAAGGAUGGCCCCUUAAUUAACUUCUACAACUCCUAUAUACUUUUCCUUGAUUCUCCAGAUUCUAACUGUAAUUCUGUAAUUAACCGCUUUUAAGAACUAAAUCACUCAUCUAUCCUCCUAAAUUUCCUAUUAUAUGGACUAUUAAUAUAUUUUACCAAUAUCUUUCAAAAAUGAAUUAAUAUCUAUUCUACACUUCUUCUCAAGAUAUUCAUUAUCUUAU
RNAcentral lists this long non-coding RNA (1137 nucleotides) under Physcomitrium patens. RNAcentral describes it as "long non-coding RNA (PPAT_LNC013459)". Lineage: Eukaryota; Viridiplantae; Streptophyta; Bryopsida; Funariales; Funariaceae. The record is from RNAcentral.